Long non-coding RNA from Aquila chrysaetos chrysaetos, 1915 nucleotides. RefSeq lists it as uncharacterized. NCBI's taxonomy places the organism in Eukaryota, Metazoa, Chordata, Aves, Accipitriformes, Accipitridae. The record is from RefSeq and is a predicted model, not a curated record. The transcript is spliced from 4 exons.
AUAAGCAAAUGCUGAUGCUAAAAGAGGCAGUGCCAACUUCCCACUGACCCAAUCACUGUUUUCACUCUCCUUGCUUUGCCAGUGACUGCAAAUAGCCAUAAAUACAUAUGGGAGGAAAAAAAAAAAAAAAAAAAAAAAAAGAGGCUAGUUUUAACCCAGAGCGUUGCCCUGUUCCCACUCACCAUGUGGCUGCACGAACAUCUGGCAGAAGGGAGAGAGAUGCAAAUGGCAAUAAUCAGGCAGAGGACUGGAAGCUGAUGACCAUGACCCUAGAAAAAGUCUAGAGAAAACAACCUCAUUACGAGACAUACCUUGCAAUAGAUGUUUGUUUAACUUGAAAUCCGCAAGAGCAGCUGCCCAGUGCAACAGUACAUAUUUGCUUCUGAAUCCUUUCUCAAAGGCACUAUUUAAACAUGUUGAUGAACUGAGCUGGAUUUCUCCCCACUUCCAUUCCAGCAAAACAAGGAGACUCAGAAGAUAAAAUUUGUGUUGUUAUUGCAAGUAGUGCUAUGUGCCUUUCUUCUGCCAAUGUCUGGAUGGGAAUCCCUUCAGCCUGUCAACACCUAACUUUAAUUAGCUGAAGAAAUUUCUCAAAGUGCUCCUCUCGUGGAGCUGUUUCUGCAACCAUUCUAGCUCCAAAAAAACCGUGGAAUCAGGAGUGACAAAAGGCAGGUCAUCAACGGACCAUGGCUGAGGUGGUGUCACAUGUCUUCUCCUCCACCAUUGGCCAACGAGGCCUUCAAAACUUCAGCAGAAUAAAUCACAUGAAGAAUGCAGCCACCUGAACAAAACAAUAAAUGAAUGAAAUCCAUGUUCUUGUGACUAAUAAGGAGAGAAAAGAAGAUGUUACUGCAAAAUAUUCGGGUAUCUUCAAUAUAUGAAAUUUUUCUGAAAUGCUGAAAUCCAGCAGAGCAGAAGAAAUUAUAAGAUCCAACAGUUAUUGUUCCGAUAUAUUCUAGAUUGAUAUCCUUCCAUUCAGUAUUCUGAAUUAUUGUUGGAAAUAUUAUACAUCUCAGGUAUGAAGAGUGAAAAAUCCUGAGCUAUAUGAAAACAAAUUAAUAUGCUGAAAUGUCAACUGAGAAUUAUGAAAGUGCCUGUGUUUUUGUCAGAAAAAGAAUGAAAUCAAGCAACUAUUGUAGUGCUCAGAAACACCUCCAAUAGCAUACACCCAAAUAAAGAAACAUCAGAAAAAUUAAUACAGUCAUUAAAAUGCAAAAAUUCUAUCUUCCAUAAUAAUUAAUAGUAUGAGUCCUAGUAAGCAGUAUAACCUACUUUUUGUAGUAUCUUCAAAACAUAUGGAUGUGCUUUAAAGAGAUCAGGAUCUUCCUAAGCAGAGAAGACAUGAAAAGAUUCUGCCGCACUGUUUCAGGCCACAGGUGACACAUCUACUGCCUUCCCUGCCUUUAAAUGUUAGAGAGGCUCCAGUCAACCGACAGGAUUUGGGUACAGACCUUUCAAAGGGUAUUCUUACACUAUAAACACAAUAUACCUCACCAAACAUAUGAUCACAUGAAUGUAUUCAGUGUUGUUCAGCACAUUCAUUCACUAAAGCUCUAAACUUGCUUAAUUAAUGAUAUACCUUACAGGUCUUCUUCAGCCUUAAGCUGGUCAAUCUGGGGGUCUGUCUUAUUGUUCUUAUAGGUUUUCAUAGCAAUUUUGCUGAAUGAACUGAUUUAAAAAUGUGUAUAUAGACCCUAAAGACUUGUCCAAAAUACAGAAGUUUAUGUUUAGAAUGAUUGUGGAAAUCUAAGGUAGUGGGAUGCUGAGUACAAAAGAUCAAUUAGCGCAGACCAGAGCAAUAUCAUGUGCACCAUUUUUGCAUUCAUUGUUCAGGACAAGUGAGGUUUUGCAUAUUUUGUAGCAGAAAUAAUCAGCAACUUUUAGAAUAAAAAUAAAUAUGUGUUGACCAUCCCUA